GAUGAAGAACGUAGCGAAAUGCGAUAAGUAAUGUGAAUUGCAGAAAUCAGUGAAUCAUCGAAUCUUUGAACGCACAUUGCGCCCGCCAGUAUUCUGGCGGGCAUGCCUGUCUGAGCGUCAUUUCAACCCUCAUGCCCCUAGGGCGUGGUGUUGGGGAUCGGCCAAAGCCCGCGAGGGACGGCCGGCCCCUAAAUCUAGUGGCGGACCCGUCGUGGCCUCCUCUGCGAAGUAGUGAUAUUCCGCAUCGGAGAGCGAUGAGCCCCUGCCGUUAAACCCCCAACUUUCCAAGGUUGACCUCAGAUCAGGUAGGAAUACCCGCUGAACUUAAGCAUAUCAAUAAGCGGAGGA
This 348-nucleotide unclassified non-coding RNA is filed under the name soil metagenome. RNAcentral describes it as "partial contains 5.8S ribosomal RNA, internal transcribed spacer 2, and large subunit ribosomal RNA". The stretch from base 1 to 120 matches the Rfam family "5.8S ribosomal RNA", at positions 35 to 154 of the family's 154-position model. The record is from RNAcentral.